AGAGACUUGUUUAUAUCUGAACCUGUGCAUACACUGCUGUGGUAAAUAAAAUCUUUCUUAAUCAAUCACAAAUAGAAAAGAACUCCUCAUCUUCUUCAAAUAUCAAAUUAAGAGCAAGAGGACAACAGAAGAACAUUCAGUCAAACAAACUACAAACGUGAAGGAUAGAAACAGAGUUCGUCAUCUCCAAGUAAUUACAUCUUUUGUUUUACAAAAGAAAGGGAAAGCGUGAAGAAAACAAAGAAACGUCCAUCUCAACAACAGCCACUUGUUGAUGCAUCAGAUUCCGGAGGUUUCUGUCUAAAUAUAUUUUUCCUGACGCCAGCUGAACCUUCAGCCAAGAGACUUGGAGUGUCCAAAAUCUUCAGCACAAGCUCCUCAAAGCACUGUUCCACAUUAACCCUCGUCUUUGCACUGCAUUCGAUGAAAAGACAUCCAUAUUCCCUGGCAAAAUCAAUUCCCUCUUUUUUGCUGACAACCCUUUCACUCUCCUUAUCAACUUUGUUGCCUACAAGCAUCUUGAUGCACUCCUGAUUUGUUGAGUACAGGUCGAUUUCUUUGGCCCAUAUAUCAGAGAGAUUAGUAAAUGU
RNAcentral lists this unclassified non-coding RNA (590 nucleotides) under Hevea brasiliensis (rubber tree). Lineage: Eukaryota; Viridiplantae; Streptophyta; Magnoliopsida; Malpighiales; Euphorbiaceae. The record is from RNAcentral.